This 637-nucleotide ribosomal RNA is filed under the name uncultured Bacilli bacterium. RNAcentral's name for it is "bacterial SSU rRNA". It matches the Rfam family "Bacterial small subunit ribosomal RNA", at positions 81 to 706 of the family's 1533-position model. The record is from RNAcentral. Lineage: Bacteria; Bacillati; Bacillota; Bacilli.
CACCGAGCGGAUGAGUUGCGAACGGGUGAGUAACGCGUAGGUAACCUGCCUCUUAGCGGGGGAUAACUAUUGGAAACGAUAGCUAAUACCGCAUAAAAGUCGAUAUCGCAUGAUAUUGAUUUGAAAGGUGCAAUUGCAUCACUAAGAGAUGGACCUGCGUUGUAUUAGCUAGUUGGUGAGGUAACGGCUCACCAAGGCGACGAUACAUAGCCGACCUGAGAGGGUGAUCGGCCACACUGGGACUGAGACACGGCCCAGACUCCUACGGGAGGCAGCAGUAGGGAAUCUUCGGCAAUGGGGGCAACCCUGACCGAGCAACGCCGCGUGAGUGAAGAAGGUUUUCGGAUCGUAAAGCUCUGUUGUAAGAGAAGAACGAGUGUGAGAGUGGAAAGUUCACACUGUGACGGUAACUUACCAGAAAGGGACGGCUAACUACGUGCCAGCAGCCGCGGUAAUACGUAGGUCCCGAGCGUUAUCCGGAUUUAUUGGGCGUAAAGCGAGCGCAGGCGGUUAGAUAAGUCUGAAGUUAAAGGCUGUGGCUUAACCAUAGUACGCUUUGGAAACUGUUUAACUUGAGUGCAGAAGGGGAGAGUGGAAUUCCAUGUGUAGCGGUGAAAUGCGUAGAUAUAUGGAGGAA